GACGAACGCUGGCGGCGUGCUUAACACAUGCAAGUCGUACGGUAAGGCCCUUUCGGGGGUACACGAGUGGCAAACGGGUGAGUAACACGUGAGUAACCUGCCCACAACUUUGGGAUAACGCUAGGAAACUGGUGCUAAUACUGGAUAUGUGCUCCUGCUGCAUGGUGGGGGUUGGAAAGCUCCGGCGGUUGUGGAUGGACUCGCGGCCUAUCAGCUUGUUGGUGGGGUAGUGGCCUACCAAGGCGGCGACGGGUAGCCGGCCUGAGAGGGUGACCGGCCACAUUGGGACUGAGAUACGGCCCAGACUCCUACGGGAGGCAGCAGUGGGGAAUAUUGCACAAUGGGCGCAAGCCUGAUGCAGCAACGCCGCGUGCGGGAUGACGGCCUUCGGGUUGUAAACCGCUUUCAGCAGGGACGAAGCUUUUUGUGACGGUACCUGCAGAAGAAGCACCGGCUAACUACGUG
Molecule: ribosomal RNA, 465 nt
Filed under: uncultured bacterium
Lineage: Bacteria
Description: partial 16S ribosomal RNA
Rfam family: Bacterial small subunit ribosomal RNA
Source: RNAcentral